Molecule: ribosomal RNA, 530 nt
Filed under: uncultured bacterium
Lineage: Bacteria
Description: bacterial SSU rRNA
Rfam family: Bacterial small subunit ribosomal RNA
Source: RNAcentral
AGUGGGGAAUAUUGCGCAAUGGGGGCAACCCUGACGCAGCGACGCCGCGUGAGUGAUGAAGGUCUUCGGAUCGUAAAGCUCUGUCCUCAGGGAAGAAGAAUGUGACGGUACCUGAGGAGGAAGCCCCGGCUAACUACGUGCCAGCAGCCGCGGUAAUACGUAGGGGGCGAGCGUUGUCCGGAAUUAUUGGGCGUAAAGGGUGCGUAGGCGGCCUUGCAAGUCCGAUGUGAAAGACCACGGCUUACCCGUGGGGUUGCAUUGGAAACUGUAGGGCUUGAGUACUGGAGAGGAUAGUGGAAUACCCAGUGUAGCGGUGAAAUGCGUAGAUAUUGGGUGGAACACCAGUGGCGAAGGCGACUAUCUGGACAGUAACUGACGCUGAGGCACGAAAGCUGGGGGAGCAGACAGGAUUAGAUACCCUGGUAGUCCUAGCCGUAAACGAUGGGUACUAGGUGUAGGAGGUUUCGAUACCUUCUGUGCCGCAGUUAACGCAAUAAGUACCCCGCCUGNAGAGUACGGUCGCAAGACUG